ACAUGUGUAAGGCGAGGCGGAGUUGCGACCAGUGCAGUGCGGAGGAAGCAAAAGAGUGUGGAGCGUUGACGGGGCUCACUUAAUUAGGACUAUUACAAGGAGUACCAGCAUUCUUAAGAUCAAUAGAAGAAAUUUGCUUUCGAUUCCUGUGCUGAAGACGAGAAAGAUCACCGCAAGACAAGCAAACGAGCUCAUCUUAACGACGUGUCAGAUGCGAGGCAAGCACCGUAUGAAGUUCAAGACAAAAAUGGUCUGUCAGUCAGCGAUGAAAGACCGCAUAACGAGACUCGAUUCAGGAGCACUACCUCUAGCUUAACAUCGGGACAUACCAGAAGCAGCAUGAAACUUGCUCUACCAACAGCCGAAGAUGGUAGCCACCUAAGCUAGCAACAGAAAGGUGAGCGCAUGUGGGCCCAAUCCUAGUUUGGCACACUGGAUUAGUUUAGCACAUUUGCGAAAAUGAGAGCUGGGGUCUCAAACUAGGAUUGUGCACUGUGGUGACAAGCACACUGACACCUGUGCAAUAUGUACUAUCUAUACUAUGUUCGAACUUAUAAUGCGUAUGUACGGCAAGUAGUAUAUUUUUGUGUUAUUUGUACAAAAUAAAAUGUAUGAAAAUACAAUUUGUGUUUCUGUUU
RNAcentral lists this unclassified non-coding RNA (638 nucleotides) under Priapulus caudatus. Its description in RNAcentral is "uncharacterized LOC106816763, transcript variant X2". Lineage: Eukaryota; Metazoa; Priapulida; Priapulimorpha; Priapulimorphida; Priapulidae. The record is from RNAcentral.